ACGGGAGGCAGCAGUGGGGAAUAUUGCACAAUGGGGGAAACCCUGAUGCAGCGACGCCGCGUGAAGGAAGAAGUAUCUCGGUAUGUAAACUUCUAUCAGCAGGGAAGAUAAUGACGGUACCUGACUAAGAAGCCCCGGCUAACUACGUGCCAGCAGCCGCGGUAAUACGUAGGGGGCAAGCGUUAUCCGGAUUUACUGGGUGUAAAGGGAGCGUAGACGGCAAGACAAGUCUGGAGUGAAAUUCCGGGGCUCAACCCCGGAACUGCUUUGGAAACUGUUUAGCUGGAGUAUCGGAGAGGUAAGCGGAAUUCCUAGUGUAGCGGUGAAAUGCGUAGAUAUUAGGAGGAACACCAGUGGCGAAGGCGGCUUACUGGACGAUAACUGACGUUGAGGCUCGAAAGCGUGGGGAGCAAACAGGAUUAGAUACCCUGGUA
This 434-nucleotide ribosomal RNA is filed under the name uncultured Blautia sp. RNAcentral's name for it is "bacterial SSU rRNA". It matches the Rfam family "Bacterial small subunit ribosomal RNA", at positions 341 to 792 of the family's 1533-position model. The record is from RNAcentral. Lineage: Bacteria; Bacillati; Bacillota; Clostridia; Lachnospirales; Lachnospiraceae.